This 503-nucleotide ribosomal RNA is filed under the name uncultured bacterium. RNAcentral's name for it is "bacterial SSU rRNA". It matches the Rfam family "Bacterial small subunit ribosomal RNA", at positions 28 to 532 of the family's 1533-position model. The record is from RNAcentral.
GACGAACGCUAGCGGCAGGCUUAACACAUGCAAGUCGAGGGGCAGCACGUCUUCGGAUGGUGGCGACCGGCGCACGGGUGCGUAACGCGUAUACAAUCUACCUUUUACAGGGGCAUAGCCCGGGGAAACCCGGAUUAAUAUCCCAUGGUACUAUGAUAUGGCAUCAUAUUUUGGUUAAAGCUUCGGCGGUGAAAGAUGAGUAUGCGUUCUAUUAGCUAGAUGGUAAGGUAACGGCUUACCAUGGCUUUGAUAGAUAGGGGUCCUGAGAGGGAGAUCCCCCACACUGGUACUGAGACACGGACCAGACUCCUACGGGAGGCAGCAGUGAGGAAUAUUGGACAAUGGGCGAGAGCCUGAUCCAGCCAUGCCGCGUGCAGGAAGACGGCCCUAUGGGUUGUAAACUGCUUUAUACGGGAGAAACACCCCUUCGUGAAGGGCUUGACGGUACCGUAUGAAUAAGGAUCGGCUAACUCCGUGCCAGCAGCCGCGGUAAGUACGGAGGA